UUGAAAUGAGUGAGAUUGUAAAUCGGCCGUGAAAUGAGUGAGAUUGUAAAUCGGCCGGCGUAAUUCAUUCAAAAGUCCGAGUUAAAAUGCGAUAUAGGGGUCAAACUAUUUGAUUUACAUUUCGAGACAUGAUUUACAUUCACAGAUGAAAUGAUAUUGUUGAAAUGAGUGAGAUUGUAAAUCGGCCGGCGUAAUUCAUUCAAAAGUCCGAGUUAAAAUGCGAUAUAUGGGUCGAACUAUUUGAUUUACAUUUCGAGACAUGAUUUACAUUUACAAAUGGCCGGCGUAAUUCAUUCAAAAGUCCGACGGCCUGUUUAAUCGGAUAUCGUCACCCUCUUAAAGUAAUGGCCUAAGUCACCUUUUUGCCAAAAUGAUUUUCUUGCCUAAAUCAGCUCUUUGUGAUGCUAGCCACCUCUGGUAAAAUCCCCAACAUCCUCAGUUGAACAGAUCAUGUGAUCCUACCCGUUUAGUGUAAUGGCCUAUGUCAAGAGUGUGAAUUAGGCAAUUUUAUGAGCGUUUCAAGAUGGCGGCCACUUCCAAAAAAAAAGAAAUGCACUGUUUUGCCUCACUUAUUCCAGAAUUAAUUCGGCCCAAGUCAGGUUCAAAAUUUAGUAAAUCACAAAGGCAUGUUCAUAAAUUGGCCUAAGUCAUCUUAUCCUCUUAUGUUACACAAUUGACUGACAUCAUUAUUUGUAUAUCAAUAGUAAUCUAUUGUCAUAACCUUUGUGUUUGAAAUGAUUCAUAAAUAUCAUAUACUCUAUAUAUGGUUCAGUUUUUUCUGUUUUCAGAACAACUUGAAAAUAUGACUUAGGCCAUUACUUUAAGAGGGUGACGAUAUGAUUGAUUGACUAGCGAUUAUUUGUUUCGUAUGUAUGAUUUGGAAUAGUUAAUUGUCAUCUACAAACGACU
This 909-nucleotide long non-coding RNA is filed under the name Gadus morhua (Atlantic cod). Its description in RNAcentral is "lncRNA (ENSGMOG00000033945.1)". The record is from RNAcentral. Lineage: Eukaryota; Metazoa; Chordata; Actinopteri; Gadiformes; Gadidae.